GACGAACGCUGGCGGCGUGCUUAACACAUGCAAGUCGAACGGAAAGGCCCUGCUUUUGUGGGGUGCUCGAGUGGCGAACGGGUGAGUAACACGUGAGUAACCUGCCCUUGACUUUGGGAUAACUUCAGGAAACUGGGGCUAAUACCGGAUAGGAGCUCCUGCUGCAUGGUGGGGGUUGGAAAGUUUCGGCGGUUGGGGAUGGACUCGCGGCUUAUCAGCUUGUUGGUGGGGUAGUGGCUUACCAAGGCUUUGACGGGUAGCCGGCCUGAGAGGGUGACCGGCCACAUUGGGACUGAGAUACGGCCCAGACUCCUACGGGAGGCAGCAGUGGGGAAUAUUGCACAAUGGGCGGAAGCCUGAUGCAGCAACGCCGCGUGCGUGAUGACGGCCUUCGGGUUGUAAACCGCUUUCGCUUGUGACGAAGCGUGAGUGACGGUAAUGGGUAAAGAAGCACCGGCUAACUACGUG
RNAcentral lists this ribosomal RNA (468 nucleotides) under uncultured bacterium. Its description in RNAcentral is "partial 16S ribosomal RNA". It matches the Rfam family "Bacterial small subunit ribosomal RNA", at positions 28 to 507 of the family's 1533-position model. The record is from RNAcentral.